This 244-nucleotide ribosomal RNA is filed under the name uncultured bacterium. Its description in RNAcentral is "partial 16S ribosomal RNA". It matches the Rfam family "Bacterial small subunit ribosomal RNA", at positions 15 to 252 of the family's 1533-position model. The record is from RNAcentral.
GAUCAUGGCUCAGAUUGAACGCUGGCGGCAGGCUUAACACAUGCAAGUCGAACGGUAACAUAAAGAAGCUUGCUUCUUUGAUGACGAGUGGCGGACGGGUGAGUAAUGCUUGGGAAUCUGGCUUAUGAGGGGGAUAACUACGGGAAACUGUAGCUAAUACCGCGUAAUAUCGAGAGAUUAAAGUUGUGGGGACCGUUCGGGUCCGACAUGCCNUAAGAUGAGCCAAGUGGGAUUAGGUAGUUGG